UCUGCAUGGAUGUAUGAUCUCUGUGGUAACUUGUAUCUGGACAGAGGGAACUCUGAUGUACUAUAUGGUUGUAUGAUCUCUGUGGUAACUGUUCAUUGAGGAUAACUGUGAUGCUAUCUAUAUUGUUGUAUGAUCUCUGUGGUAACUUGUAUCUGGACAGAGGGAACUCUGAUGUACUAUAUGGUUGUAUGAUCUCUGUGGUAACUUGUAUCUGGACAGAGGGAACUCUGAUGUACUAUUUGCAAAGAGGUUUUAUUGUCUUCUCAGGAAUUGUGUAUUUUUCUUUCUGUUGGUCUCAUCCCCCACACCAGCCGUUAGAUGUUGUGACACCGUGAGGAGAUUGGGCCUUGGUGGUCAGGUUACACUGUAAACUUGGUAUCGUUUGACUGGUCGUUGGUUUGGUGUUGAGAAGGUUAUACCUUCAGAUCUAAUAAAUGUCAAAAAAAAACAAAUAAAAACUUGUUCUCUCUCUUAUCUUCUAGCUUCAUGUCUUGUAUGUGAAUCCAUUCCUUUUUGAGUUGUUAUAUAACACUUCCUUUUGAUAUUCGCUUCUCGUGACCAUUCCUUGAUCUUAGCCAGCUAAACUCAUAAUACUUGAUUGCAUGUGGCUAAACCAUUUAUUUUAUUUUUUGUACCCUUAUUUUACCAGGUACAUUGACUGAGAACAUGUUCUCAUUUACAGCAACGACCUGGGGAAUAGUUACAGGGGAGAGGAGGGGGAUGAAUGAGCCAAUUGUACGCUGGGGAUGAUUAGGUGGCCGUGACUGUAUGAGGGCCAGAUUGGGAAUUUUUGCAUAUUGCUACUUAUCUUUAUGAGGUCAGAUCAACAUUUUAAUAGGUUAAUAAUUGCUUAGUCUUUAUUGUGAGUCGCAUGUGAGGUAUUUAUAGUAUCAUAUGUAUCAACGAAUGGUCAUGAGAAGCAAGUAUUAUAUUAUAACUUUGUAAAAUUAAUGGAUUAACAUACAAGACCUAAAGCUUGAGUUGCAAAGAAUUAACCAGCAUUACAAGACAUCAUUUUAAGCAUAUACAUGGCUUGGGUGACUGAAGUCUUUUUCGGGCUUUCCUCUGUAGUGCUUUGUGGUCGAGGGCGGUGCGUUUACCAUACCAAGCAGUGAUGCAGCCAGUCAAAAUGCUCUCGAUGGUACAACUGUAGAAUGUCUUGAGGAUCUGAGGGCCCAUGCCAAAUCUUUUCAGUCUUCUGAGGGGGAAGAGGCGUUGUCGUGUGGGUGUGUGAAUGGACAUUGUUAAGUCCUUAGAAAUGUCGACACCAAGGAACUUGAAGCUCUUGACGCGCUCCACGACAGCCCCGUUGAUGUGGAUGAGGCGUGCCCUCCACUCUUCCUCCUGAAGUCCACGAUCAGCUCCUAUUCAGAAAGACUCAAUCAUCGUACAUACCUGUCUCAAACUGACACAAUGGUAAAUUGUCUGUGUCUCUCUGUCUCUCUCUUACAGCAGCUUGCAGAUACAGGACAGCAAGGGUUUCCAAUAGAGGAGGUGAAAUGGUGUCUUGUUUUGAGCCAAGAGGAAGUAAUGACCCUGUGUGCAGGACAGGAUUGAAAAGCUUGGAGGGCUGCUGUGUUUACAUUAAAGAUGACCAGGCGUGGUUGAAGUGGGACGAGAAAACAAUAUUGAGAUGUGACAGCACACAUUAUGGGAACAGCGAUGGUGAAUGUGCCAGCAAUCAAUCCAGCCUUGACUGUGAUGGAGAGAUUUCUGCCAACAUGACACCUGGCACAGACACACCUGGCACAGACACACCUGGCACAGACACACCUGGACAGCAGAACACUACCCAGAACGGGACACCCACUGCCAGUCCAAGAGGUAGACUGUUCCUGUUACUCCCAGUCAGCAUGGUAGCUGUGAUUCUACUGGGAACGGCAUCCUGCAAACACAGGAAGAAGUCAGACUCCAGGUUUUUUUGUUGUCCUUGAUGGCUUUUGUUUUGGCAAUAUUUUCUGUUUUCUCUCUUUUGUUCAUUUUGUUGGUUGUUGGUGCGUUGGGGGAUGGUGACUCAGGGAAACUGUGUGGGGGAUCUUGGAGGGCUGGUGGCCUGGCGGUUUGGAGCUAUGGCUGGUAGCUGAUAAUCAUUGAUGUCUCAGGAGCAGGAGUAGAAAACACGGUUGACAUGUAUAAUUGUAAUUCAUACAUGCAGACACUGCAUUAUUCAAAUAGUGGAGUUUGAUAUGACUGAAAAAGAAUGUCUCAGAGAUUCAUGGUCAUCACAAGGUUUAACUGAGAUGGAAAAAUACUGAACAACACAAUAGCAGGAACUGAGCAACUGUUAUAACUAGGCUGCGAUACCAGAACAGUAAGAAUCUAUACAUCGACGGAGGGAGGACUCCAAGACUCCAAGAGGCGGGGACCCGCCUGAGCGCCUGCGAUAGGCUGAGCAAGUCUAAACCACGCUCUGCCUCUACUGUGAUAGGCCAACAGACGGGUUGGCACAAUGUCUAUCAUAGUAUAAGAACAACUGUUUACGUACAUCCUGUCAGUUCCCUGUUCUGCCCUGCGUGGUAUUACAGUGAGCCCGUAUAUAGGAACGUUGCAUUUGCCAUUUAUUGCUUAGCUAAUAAAAGUACAUAGAGUACAA
Oncorhynchus tshawytscha (Chinook salmon) is the source of this 2593-nucleotide long non-coding RNA. Lineage: Eukaryota; Metazoa; Chordata; Actinopteri; Salmoniformes; Salmonidae. The record is from Ensembl.